AGUGGAUGGGGAGCAACCUAGUUGUGCGUGUGUAAAGGUAGUGCCAAGAAAAGCGGUGAUCAUGAUGAAAAUCAAUUCCCGGUACCCGAAACCGACACAGGUGGGCAAGUAGAGAAUACUAAGGGGCGCGAGGUAACUCUCUCCAAGGAACUCGGCAAAAUGACCCCGUAACUUAGGGAGAAGGGGUGCCACCGAGAGGUGGUCGCAGUGAAGAGGCCCAGGCGACUGUUUAGCAAAAACAUAGGUCUCUGCAAACUCGAAAGAGGAGGUAUAGGGGCUGACGCCUGCCCAGUGCCGGAAGGUUAAAGAAGUUGGUCAGUCUUAGGAUAAAGCUAGCGACUGAAGCCCCGGUGAACGGCGGCCGUAACUAUAACGGUCCUAAGGUAGCGAAAUUCCUUGUCGGGUAAGUUCCGACCCGCACGAAAGGCGUAACGAUCUGGGCGCUGUCUCGGAGAGAGGCUCGGCGAAAUAGGAUUGUCUGUGAAGAUACGGACUACCUGCAUUUGGACAGAAAGACCCUAUGAAGCUUUACUAUAGCUUGGAAUUGUGUUCGGGCUUCCUGUGCGCAGGAUAGGUGGGAGGCGAAGAAGGUAUUCUUGUGGGGAUACUGGAGCCAACGGUGAGAUACCACUCUCAGGAGGCUAGAAUUCUAACUUAAUUAAGGACAGUUUCAGGUGGGUAGUUUGACUGGGGCGGUCGCCUCCAAAAAGGUAACGGAGGCGUACAAAGGUUCCCUCAGACUGGUUGGAAAUCAGUCGCAGAGUGCAAAGGCAGAAGGGAGCUUGACUGCGAGAAGUACAGUUCGAGCAGGGUGGAAACACGGUCUUAGUGAUCCGACGGUGCUGUGUGGAAGGGCCGUCGCUCAACGGAUAAAAGUUACUCUAGGAUAACAGGCUGAUCUCCCCCAAGAGUUCACAUCGACGGGGAGGUUUGGCACCUCGAUGUCGGCUCAUCGCAACCUGGGGCGGAAGUACGUCCCAAGGGUUGGGCUGUUCGCCCAUUAAAGCGGUACGUGAGCUGGGUUCAGAACGUCGUGAGACAGUUCGGUCCAUAUCCGAUGUAGGCGUGAGAAUAUUGAGAGGAGCCUUCCUUAGUACGAGAGGACCGGGAAGGACGCACCGCUGGUGUACCUGUUAUGAUGCCAAUUGUAAACGCAGGGUAGCCAAGUGCGGAGAGGAUAACCGCUGAAAGCAUCUAAGUGGGAAGCCCACCUCAAGAUGAGUAUUCUGGUGUAAGGUCACGGGAAGACGACCCGUAAAUAGGCACGAGGUGGAGGUGCAGAGAUGUAUGAAGCCGAAGUGUACUAAUAGACCGUCGGCUUGAU
This 1324-nucleotide ribosomal RNA is filed under the name metagenome. RNAcentral describes it as "bacterial LSU rRNA". It matches the Rfam family "Bacterial large subunit ribosomal RNA", at positions 1561 to 2925 of the family's 2925-position model. The record is from RNAcentral.